This is a non-coding RNA of Podarcis lilfordi (Lilford's wall lizard), 3285 nucleotides long. The record is from the annotation of a GenBank genome assembly. Lineage: Eukaryota; Metazoa; Chordata; Lepidosauria; Squamata; Lacertidae.
UGGUAAUAAUAUUGUGCCACUCAGGCUUUGAACAAAACUGUGUAUAGUUUUCACAAAUUAAUGCUGUAGCUUGUUGUUGCUUGUUUUACUUUACUAUCAGUUCCUUUCCCUAACGCUUAAAUAUUUCACAUUUUUCUUUUGUUGGCUUCCUUUGAAAUGUGUGCAUUGCAGUCGGCAGGCCUAGUAAUUGAAGAUACGCAUGAGCAAAUGAUGUAAUUGGAAUUGAAAGGUAGAAGUUUAUUCUUAUAAUAAAACAAAAAACCCCCUAUACAUGUAUUGAACUCUUUGAUGUUUAGAAAAGUAUGUAUUUGGGGAUUGACAGAAAAAUACUGGCCAUCUUCACAUAUUUCCAUGCAAAUGCGGUACACUAUUAAGUGCCAAUGGGGGUUAUCAGCAGUAUUAAACAUUCGUUCAGACAUUGGCCAUUUCCAGGAAAGUUUAGUUUUGCAAAGUUUUCAUUAAAGGGAAGGGGAAAGGACCGGGGAUUGCUUCGGUAAUGUGAUGCAGACUGCUAAACCUCCAAUUAACACUGAGAGUUAAUUGGAUAUGCAAGAAGUCUAGACCAGAACAAUAAUUCAUGGAUAAUCAAAAUGCUGAAUUUAUUAAUUUCUCCUUGGUCCAUACAUAUCUUACUGGCAGAAUUGCUUUAUUUGACUUUGAAAGGUUAUCCUUUAGAGUCCAGGCAUGGCCAAACAUGGCCCUUCAGCUGUUUUGGGACUACAACUCCCAUCAUGUCUAGCUAGCAGGACCAGUGGUCAGGGAUGCUGGGAAUAGUAGUCCCAAAACAGCUGGAGGGCCAAGUUUGGCCAUGCCUGCUUUAAACUGUUCUCAAUCUGUGGAGGGCAAACAUGGACACAUACCAUAUUUACUUGAAUCUAGUGCUCAGCAUUUUUGCAAAAAUCAAGGUGCGCAUUGGAUUCGAUGACACAUUUGCCAGCAAGUACUUGUUUGGGUUUCAAGGUUCUGAAAAUUGAGGUGCACGUUAUAGAUUCGAUGGUGCAUUAGACUUGGGAGUAAAUACGGUACAUUGUCCCUGACCGGCAUGUGUUGGAGCAACCUCAAAGUUCCAUGUACUGCUGGAAAGGGUUUCUAAGCCCACACCGUGGAACGUUCUCAAGUGUCUUCCCAUGACAGGCAACUUGUUCCCCUUAAAUCCCACUUCCAUGGGUCUUGCUGUUCUGCACUAUUCUAAUAGCCUUAGAUUGCGUGACCCUUGAGGAUAGAACCUUUGGAAAAUAGGAUGAAAGCUCUUCCGAGCCCAUGGGAUAAAGCAGGACAGAGCAUGCUGCUGAAAACCAUUCAUUAAGGAACAACUAUUGCCUUCAUGCUCUGAUUGUGGACUUCCUAUAGGCAUCAUCUCUUGCUCCUGGGCAAGGCCUUCAGCUUCCUGUAACUCUAUAGUCCAAAGGUGGAAUCCAGCUAAUAUGUUCCAUAAAUGCAAAGAUGGCACACUAGAACUUCCCUUUCUUGGGUUUGUGCUCCGCCUCCUCCCCAAAAUCUUCUCUAGAGGGUUGAGGGAACACCUAGGACAGAUUUAGGGAUGUGUGUGUGUGUGUCCAUUGUUCAAGUGGAAAUCUUUUGUGCUGACCAUCCCGUUUUCCUGGUUUGGGCUUUAAACACCCCUCCAACAUAUUUAUGGCACAAAAGCAGAUCCCCACUCAGUGUGUACUCACCCCUGCUCUCUCCCUGCACCUAUUUAGGCACGCAGCAGUUCUGCACAGAGAUCUAGCCACGCUUGGCUGCCAAAUGUAUGAUGUCUGUUUCUUGCAUUCACACCUUUUAAGUAUUUUUGUUUUUUUAAAAAAACAACACAGCCACCUUACACUCUUAAAGAAAAUGUAUGAAAGAGCUGCUGGCACAUUUUAGCCAUUCGAGCAACUGAAAGCACUUCAAACCAACACUUGAGAAGCACUUGCCUCCUCACUUCCAGCCCCUCUCUGAAGACUGGAGAAGAGACCCUCUUAAGAAUAUUAGAGGGGUGGGCAGGGGAAGGACUAGACUAUGUGAAAAAUGAACAUAAUAUUUUAGCCACUGUUCAUUCAUUUUCAGCCUUAUUUUUAAAAAAGCGUGCCUGGACAUUCCGUUGUUGUGCCCACAACCUCAGUUUAAGGUGCCAUUUAGCUCCUUGCUUUCAUAUCUCCAUUUCUAACACUGGGUACAAUAUAUAAGAGACUUGAAACAGUAGAACUUAAAACACUUGCAGCCCAGAAACCCUGACUGCACGGUGCCAUCAUCAGGGCAAGAUGUUGAAUCUGUACAAUCACCAGCUAAAAACUGAUUCUAUACUUAAGCUAUCAUUCCGUUUUGACAGAUAUCCCAGUUUUGCAAGUUAAAAGUCAUUGGAUAAACUGGCCUAUAGCAAAACAGUUACCUUUAAGUGCAUUCAGGCAAAAUGUUUUGAAGAAUGAGACAUUCGAUACAGAUUUUGUGAUACAGAUUUUAUUGCCCUCUCCAACUUUUUCCCCUCCAGGGAACUCAUGUCUGUUGAAUGAAGGUUAAACUGUGCCAAGAAAGUGCACCUGACCUCAGACCUACACAUGCCUUCUGUUAGAGGUUUUAGAUGUAGUCAUCAUUAAAGUGCAUUCCCCUAGCAUUCUUCAGUCACUGCAGAUCACGAGUUCCACUCUCAGAACAAGACUACAAAUGAUUUUUUUCUUCCAGAGCAGGCAUUCAUUACGAGUAUUGCAAAUAACGGUUCUAUAAAAAGGACAGCUGGGAAAUACAAAAUGCAAAGAUGCUAACCGAUGUCUCUUUGGGAGGCAGAGAACAUAUUAUUUGGCUCCAACUUCCCAUGGCUGUACAAAGAGUGGCAGUGUAUUAAAAAAAUAAAAAAGCAGAGUAAUCAUCUCAAUUAUUGGGAGCUGACAAAUAAGGCUUUGCCAGUAAAAAUAAAUGGCCCAAUUAUUACAAAUUUCAGUAUUUGCAUUACAUUUGUCUCAAAGCAUUUCAUUAAUGAUAUCCAUCCACUAAGAUGAGCUGAAAUGUACCAGGACAGGCCAUUUGUUCAGCCUGCCAAUUUGUCAAAUGUGCUGUGCUUGAAGCUUUCAGCUCCUAAUUAAAAGAUGUUGAGCACCACACAGUAUGGGAUGGCUCUGAAAUUAAUGCAGAAGCUGGAAUGAUUUCCGGGGUUUAUCACACUUUGUCUGAGAAGAUUACCAUGAUGAAAAAUGAUGUGAGAAAUAAAAACUUUUAAAAAACCCAAAACAUAAUAAUCAAGAUUUUUUUUGUUUGUUUUAGAGGCGCUCUAGCUUUUCAUUUAAGAAUUCUUCUACGCUGUCUGUAUUC